AGCGACUAGUGAAGCCGUCCGUCGAUGUCCUGAUUUCCUUUCAGAUAGUGUAAUGAAAUGAAAGUAGCGUGAAUAGUGUUAAUGAAAGAAAUGGUCGGUUAACCGACCGACAUGGGAUCCGUUUUUAUAAGCGGCCCUUUCUCGUCUGUUCGCAGAUGGGCAGCGGUAGAGCGUACAGGUUGCGACAUGAAAGAUGGUGAACUAUGCCUGAGAGGACGAAUUCAGAGGAAACUCUGGUGGAAGUCCGGUUCUGACGUGCAAAUCGAUCGAGAGACAGGUGUAGGGGCGAAAGACUAACCAUCUAUUAGCUGGUUCCCUCCGAAGUUUCCCCCAGAAUAGCUGGAGUUCUUUGCGGUUAUAUUCGGUAAAGCGAAUGAUUAAAAGACUUGGGGUCGAAACGACCUCAACUUUUCUAUUUUCUACAUUUAUUCUACUUCCAUGCUAUUCUCAAACUUUUAAUGGGGGCCAUUUAUGGUAAGCAGAACUGAGCUGUGGGACGAACCAGACGUUGGUAUAAGGUACCUAAGUUCUCGCUCAUGAGACCCCAUAAAAGGCGUUGGUUGAUAUAAACAGCAGGAUGGUGGCCAUGAAAGUCGGUACCCGCUAGGGAUUGUGUAACAAUUCACCUGCCGAAUCAACUAGUCCUGAAAAUGGAUGGCGCUUGAGCGAGAGACCUAUACCCAACUGUUACCGCCUGGCCGCAAUGAGUAGGCAGUUGCGUUGAAGGCUUUGGGCGUAGACCCAGCCGGAGCUCCCGUCAGUGCAAAUCUUGGUAGUAGCAAAUAUUUAUGUUCCAUCCUUGGAGACUAAAGUGGAGAAGAACUCCACGUGAACAGUAGUUGAAUCUUGGUCAGUUGAUCCUAAGAUAUGCAUGGUAUCAUUGAGAGAGUAAAUUUUUCUUCCUCUCAAAUAUUAAAAGGGAAUAGGGUUAGUAUUUCCUAACACAGACACAGAGAUUGCGGCUCUUUGAGUCGCCUGCGCCGUAACGGAUUACUCGAACUUGGUUACGUCAUUCAGAGACCGAGCUGGAGUUCUCUUUUCUAGUUAAGGAACGGGUUCCCUGAAAUCGGAUCAGCCUUAAGUAGGGAUGUUGUUUCCGUAAACGAUCGCUGUUUCUGUCAUGCCUCUUUCUCUGGACGGCUUUUAGGAAACCAAGGAAGACUAUUAGUCUGUGCUGCAUAAUAUAAUCGUAAAUAGUAUCGUACCGGUCCCCAUCAGAUCUCCAAGGUGAACAGCCUCUAAUC
Molecule: non-coding RNA, 1244 nt
Filed under: Necator americanus (New World hookworm)
Lineage: Eukaryota; Metazoa; Nematoda; Chromadorea; Rhabditida; Ancylostomatidae
Description: Eukaryotic large subunit ribosomal RNA
Rfam family: Eukaryotic large subunit ribosomal RNA
Source: Rfam by way of RNAcentral